Molecule: ribosomal RNA, 137 nt
Filed under: Teratosphaeria sp. CPC 13917
Lineage: Eukaryota; Fungi; Ascomycota; Dothideomycetes; Mycosphaerellales; Teratosphaeriaceae
Description: partial 18S ribosomal RNA
Rfam family: Eukaryotic small subunit ribosomal RNA
Source: RNAcentral
GCUCAGUGAGGCGUUCGGACUGGCCCAGGGAGGUCGGCAACGACCACCCAGGGCCGGAAAGUUCGUCAAACUUGGUCAUUUAGAGGAAGUAAAAGUCGUAACAAGGUCUCCGUAGGUGAACCUGCGGAGGGAUCAUU